Long non-coding RNA from Oncorhynchus tshawytscha (Chinook salmon), 2361 nucleotides. The record is from Ensembl. Lineage: Eukaryota; Metazoa; Chordata; Actinopteri; Salmoniformes; Salmonidae.
GGCCCGCACAGAGCCCUGACCUCAACCCCAUCAAACAUCUUUGGGAUGAAUUUGACCACUGACUGCUAGCCAGGACUAAUCACCCAACAUCAGUGCCCGACCUCACUAAUGCUCUUGUGGCUGAAUGGAAGCAUGUCCCUGCAGCAAUGUUCCAACAUCUAAUGGAAAACCUUCCCAGAGUGGAGUGGAGGCUAUUACAGAAGCAAAGGGGGACCAACUCCAUAUUAAUGCCCAUGAUUUUUGGAAUGAGACGUUUCGAACAAGCAUGUGUCCACAUACUUUUGGUCAUGUAGUGUAGCAUAAGGUUUCGGCAGCUUCGCUGCUUGAACCCCUAAUAAUGACCAGCAACAUCAACAUAUACAGUAGGGUUUCGCCAGCUUCGCUGCUUGAACCUCUAAUAAUGACCAGCAACAUCAACAUAUACAGUAGGGUUUCGUCAGGUUUGCUUUAUCAUCUAUUCAUUAAUGAGGCAGUCUAGACAGCACAUGAUUAGAGGUAGCCUAGACAGAGAAAGUUUAGACAAAACAAUCAUUAGUCCCUAUUAAGAAUGACUGCGGUCAUCACUCAACUUUUGGGAGUCAAUGUGGCUGAGAAGUCACAAGAAUGUUCAUAAGAAGGGCGUGACGUGACUGCGUGACAGAUGUGUAAACCCGUGAUUCAGAUGGAUUUGAUACAAUUAAAGCUCUUUGGAGUAUGUUCAUCCACUGUCCAACUGUUACUUUUGAUGACUAUUGGUAGUGUGUGUGUGUGUGUGGGGGGGUGUGGGUGUGUACAGUGAGUGUACAAAACAUUAGGAACACCUUCCUAAUGUUGAGUUGCACCCCAUUUUCCCAUCAGAACCGCCUCAAUUCGUCAGGGCACGGGCAUGGACUCUACAUAUUUAUCUUGGCCUGGUCGCAAUUGUAAAUGAGAACUUGUUCUCAACUUGCCUACCUGGUUAAAUAAAGGUGAAAUAAAAAAUAAAUAAAACAUGGUGUCAAAUGCAUUCUACAGGGAUGCUGGCCCAUGUUGACUCCAAUGCUUCCCACAGCAGAGUUGCAGUUCUUGACACAUUCAAACCGAUGUGCCUGGCACCUACUAUCAUACCCCGUUCAAAGGCACUUAAAUAUUUUGUCUUGCCCAUUCACACUUUGAAAGGCACAAAUACACAAUCCCAUGUUUUAAUUGUUUCAAAGCUUAAAAAUACUUAUUUCAAAUUUCUACAAUGAUUGAAGUGGAUUUAAUAAGGGAUCAUAGCUUUCUUCUGGUCAGUCUAUGCCAUGGAAAGAGCAGGUGUUCCUAAUUUUUUUUACACUCGGUGUAUGUGGGUGUAGCAAUGGUCAUGCCCCAAAUUGCUGCACACAAGCAUGAGCCCAGGGUCCUAUUCAUUUGGCACCAAAUGUUAGAAAAUGGACUGGAAAAUGGAGGGACUACGUCCAUGUUCCGUUGCAAAACAUAUACAACAUUGCAUUCCCUAAUGAACAUGACCCAGGUAAAGGCCAUCGGAAAACCCUCCUGGCCCUAGUACUGGCUAUGGGGUGUUUGUGUUCGAGACAAGGCGGUGUGGGAUCCUGGCAGUAAGAGGAGACCCAGCCUGUUGGGUGUUGGCCAGCCACGGAGGACUACCCCACUAUUAAUAGCUAUUAGCUGCAUGGCGAAUCUUAAGAAAGACCAUGGGCCUCCCACACACAAUCGUCUACUCAGACUCUCACAAACACACACAUGCACACAAACACACACACUCACUUGCAGAUGCAGACUUAUACAAUUGCACUCGCUGACACACAGUCAAGGGAAACUCGCACACUCAAACACUGACACGCAGACUAUUGUGCAUAAGCCUACUGAAGGAGCAUGCACAUUCUGUUACAAUUCCUCUCCCUCUCCCCCUAGCCCUCUUUCUUUAUCUCUCGAUCGCUCUCUCUCACACACACACACACAUACAGACACACACACACAGACUGGGUUAGAGUGUGUCAGUAGUGUUCACUAAGACAACGGCGGUGGCCUGCUGUGGAUUCCGCUGGCCUCUCUUGGACCAGGGCCAUACACAUUCCUGCUUCCCCCAGGUUGCCAUUGGUUCAGCUCAGCCAGUGCACUCUGUCACCCCGCAAGUUUGUGUGUGUGUGUGCAUAUGUUCCUUUACACAAGCGUGUGUGUGUGCACGUUCCUUCAUUCAUGCAUGUUUGUGUGCGUGCGUGCAGUUCUUUCGUUCGUGCAUGUUGGUUCAUGUUUGUGUGCGUGCAGUUCUUUCGUUCGUGCAGUUCUUUCAUUCGUGCAUGUUGGCUCAUGUUUGUGUGCGUGCAGUUCUUUCGUUCGUGCAUGUUGGUUCAUGUUUGUGUGCGUGCAGUUCUUUCGUUCGUGCAGUUCUUUCAUUCGUGC